GACGAACGCUGGCGGCGUGCUUAACACAUGCAAGUCGAACGGAAAGGCCCUGCUUUUGUGGGGUGCUCGAGUGGCGAACGGGUGAGUAACACGUGAGUAACCUGCCCUUGACUUUGGGAUAACUUCAGGAAACUGGGGCUAAUACCGGAUAGGAGCUCCUGCUGCAUGGUGGGGGUUGGAAAGUUUCGGCGGUUGGGGAUGGACUCGCGGCUUAUCAGCUUGUUGGUGGGGUAGUGGCUUACCAAGGCUUUGACGGGUAGCCGGCCUGAGAGGGGGACCGGGCACAUUGGGAGUGAGAGACGGCCCAGACUCCUACGGGAGGCAGCGGUGGGGAAAAUUGUACAAUGGGCGGAAGCCUGAGGCAGCAACGCCGCGUGCGGGAUGACGGCCUUCGGGUUUUAAACCGCUUUCGCCUGUGACGAAGCGUGAGUGACGGUAAUGGGUAAAGAAGCACCGGCUAACUACGUG
RNAcentral lists this ribosomal RNA (468 nucleotides) under uncultured bacterium. Its description in RNAcentral is "partial 16S ribosomal RNA". It matches the Rfam family "Bacterial small subunit ribosomal RNA", at positions 28 to 507 of the family's 1533-position model. The record is from RNAcentral.